RNAcentral lists this long non-coding RNA (381 nucleotides) under Gossypium barbadense (sea-island cotton). RNAcentral describes it as "long non-coding RNA (GBAR_LNC003470)". Lineage: Eukaryota; Viridiplantae; Streptophyta; Magnoliopsida; Malvales; Malvaceae. The record is from RNAcentral.
UUGUAACCAUUUGAGUUCGACUUUGGGACUUCAAUUAUCCAUUGUGAGAGGGUAAAUUGAAUUCAAGUAUCUAAUAAAUUCAGCAAAAUCAUUCUCUGAGCGAAUCUCUACAAAGUAAGAUUGGUGAACCCGAAUUGUAUUAAAAAAUAUUGUAUGUUAAUCCUCUCCUUACUUUGCUUAUUUCUUUACUUUACCUUAAAAUUGUUUCGUCCAAGUUGUUCUAUCCCGACUUGUGUUUCAACAUCAAUUAGAACAAUACAUUAGAACAAGUGUAAACUGAAGGUUUUUUCACUUGUAUGUAGAAAUAGAAAGGUUAAAAUAGGUCCUAACUCCCUGUAUUUUUUGUAUAUUUUAAAUUUUGUCUCUCUACUUUUAUUUUCA